This 2577-nucleotide ribosomal RNA is filed under the name Triticum aestivum (bread wheat). RNAcentral describes it as "partial small subunit ribosomal RNA". The record is from RNAcentral. Lineage: Eukaryota; Viridiplantae; Streptophyta; Magnoliopsida; Poales; Poaceae.
AUGGGGCCGUUGUGGGUUUUCUUCGGUGCAUUCGUAAUGGCAGCCACCGCAGUUCAUGUCGCCGGUCAGCAAGAAGGUUUCUUGAGCAUCGAUUGCGGCCUGGAUGCCAAAUUCAGCGGCCGCAGGGACACGUACACAGAUAUCGCUUACGUCUCCGACGGUCCGUACGUCGACGGCGGGGAGAACCACAGGGUAGCCGCCGAGCUCGAUACUACUGACACAAACGAGGACCUCCGCACGCUCAGGAGUUUCCCGUCCGGCCUACGAAACUGUUACACGCUCCCAACCAAGAGCGGCGCCAAGUACCUUGUCCGGAUGUUGUUCUUCCACGGGAACUACGACGGCAAGACGGUCGAUUUCGACCUACACCUUGGCACCAACUACUGGGAUACGAUGUCGGUCGGAAACACGACCGACGACCGCUACUCGUGGUCCGAGGCGAUCUUCGUCGCCUGGGCGAGCUGGGUGCCGGUGUGCCUGGUGAACACCGGCAGUGGUACGCCGUUCGUCAGCACGGUGGAGCUGAGGCCGCUCAGUGCCUCGCUUUACCCGGACGUCACCAUCGAUGAGUCCAUGUCCACGUAUCAAAGGAUAAACACAGGGGGAAACUUUACUCGGUUUCCUGAGGAUCCUUACGACCGCUACUGGAGUUCGAGAACCAGGUUGUCAUGGGCAAAGCUUUCCACCAAAGACACCAUCGAGCAGGACAACGUCUUCGCGGUGCCCAGUCUGGUUCUUCAGACAGCCGUAGCUCCUAUCAACAAUGCCACGGUGCUAUAUGUCAAUACAUGGAUAUCAUACAAAACAUCAUUGGAGUUUAAGUUCAUCUUCCAUUUCGCCGACAUCCAAAACACCCAACGUCGGCGAUUCAACAUAUACAUGAACAACGAGGACUGGUACACGAAUUACAGCCCCCCAUACCUGGUAGCUGAUCAUGUGCGUAGUUCUAAAUGGUAUAAGACUACGGGCGGCGAGUACAAUUUCACUCUUGCAGCCACCAAUACAUCCAUGAUGCCUCCGAUGAUCAAUGCAUAUGAGGGAUACACACACAUCCCCCACGACACUCCGAGGACAUUCUUCAAAGACUUUGAAGCAAUGAUGGCUAUCAAACAAGAGUAUGGAGUAAAGAAAAAUUGGAUGGGUGAUCCAUGUUUUCCAGCAAAAUAUCGGUGGAAUGGCGUUAAGUGUAGCGAUGUAACUGAUAACACGACGAGGAUAAUAUCUCUAGACUUGUCCAAUAAUAACAUGAGUGGGUUGGUAUCUGAUAACUUCACACUUCUCACAGAACUCCAAUUUCUAGAUUUAUCUGGCAACACUCUGAAUGGACCAAUUCCAUAUUCCCUUUGUAAAGUGAAUGCAGGAUCGCUCGUUUUAAGGUACGAGUCUGGUGAAGAUAUGUGCAACAAAACAAUAAGUUCGACUCCAUCAAAAAAUAGAACAGUUAUAAUAAGUAUUUCAAUAGUGGUUCCCUUGCUGGUAGUGGUUGUACUUGUUCUUUCAUAUUUUAUCUGGAGAGGGAAGAGAAAGCCUAAAUUUUCCGUACAGGAUGCUCCUAGAGAGCAAGAACUUGAGAGUGCCCUUGGAAGUACAAAAAUUCAGGGUGAUCACCUGCAAAAUACCGAGAAUCGACGAUUCACAUACAGGGAGCUCGAGAAGUUUACAAAUAAAUUCCAACGGUCCAUUGGUAAAGGAGGUUUUGGGCUCGUAUACUACGGCCGCUUAGAAGACAAUACUGAAGUUGCUGUCAAGAUUCGUUCUGAAUCAUCGUCGCAUGGUCUUGACGAGUUCUUAGCAGAGGUCAAUAGCUUGACAAAGGUGCAUCACAGGAAUCUAGUUUCUUUGGUUGGUUACUGCUGCGAGAAGGAACAUUUGGCACUUGUUUAUGAGUACAUGUCCGAGGGCAAUCUUUGUGAUCAUCUGAGAGGGAAAAAUGGUGUUGGUGAACCCUUGAGCUGGGCGAUACGUGUACGAGUCAUGCUCGAAGCAGCACAAGGCCUGGAUUAUCUUCAUAAGGGAUGUAGCUUGCCAAUAAUCCACCGGGAUGUGAAAACCAACAACAUUCUCCUAGGUCAAAAUCUAAAGGCUAAAAUAGCUGAUUUUGGACUAUGCAAGACCUAUCUUAGCGACAUGCAGACCCACAUAUCAACUAAUGCGGCUGGGACAGCAGGAUACAUGGACCCCGAGUACUAUCACACUGGCUGGCUCACUGAGAGCAGCGAUGUGUAUAGCUUCGGGGUUGUUCUACUUGAGGUAGCAACCGGUGAGCCUCCAGUAUUGGCGGGCCAUGGCCACAUCGUUCAGCGUGUGAAGCAAAAGAUUGCCACUGGCAACAUCACCACCGUGGCUGAUGCCCAUCUUGGAGGUGAAUAUGAUGUCAACUCCAUGUGGAAACUGGUCGACACCGCCAUGGCGUGCACAGCGGAUGCUGCUGUCCGAAGGCCAACAAUGGCCACCGUUGUGGCGCAGCUGAAAGAGAGCCUUGCGUUGGAGGAAGGUCGUGAGGACAGUAGUGCCAGGGGAAGCAUCACCAGUACAACUGCUGCUCCGAUGUCGGCGUUCGGUCCAUCGGCAAGAUGA